CUGAGGGAAACCCUUGGCUCUCUCUAUCUCCUUGCUUCGCACAGCCCCAGCUUCUCCAAGCUCUCACCACUCUGCUGCCUUCUGGAUCCAUGACAGGCCUCUUCAUUUCAACUCAACUUCAUUUCAGUUGAGAAGGAAAAUAUUGCUGUGAAUGGCCAGGAGAUGAUACCUUACUACCAGCAGAACUCCAAGGGGAGCACAAGAUUUCCCAGGGAACAGCUCUCCAGCUAGGCAUAAUCCUUCCUUUACAAGUUCAGCAGUAUCCAGUCUAUAGGGUCUUCCUUUCAAAUGCACAUGGAACAACCCUCCAGCAUUCCAUCAAAGCAAAACCAACCACUGCUUUGAGAACAGCCAGCUGGAAAUGAGGGGGACACAAACUGGGCCUUGUAGCAAGAGGUAAGUACUGUGGGAAAACUUCUAAUUCACACAAAUGCUCA
Corapipo altera (White-ruffed manakin) is the source of this 437-nucleotide long non-coding RNA. RefSeq lists it as uncharacterized. The record is from RefSeq and is a predicted model, not a curated record. The transcript has 3 exons. NCBI's taxonomy places the organism in Eukaryota, Metazoa, Chordata, Aves, Passeriformes, Pipridae.